AUCGAAAGAAGAGGUCGCCUCAAUGAUGAGUAACCCUGGUAAGAUGAUUAAGCAUCUGGGACCCAGGGAGAAAGGUAACGAGGCCGAAAUGACUGCAGACUUAAUUCUGCACGAUUUGGGACUUGGUUGAAUAAGCCAAGGACUGUCGCAAUUACGGUUGCGGAGCGCUAUCUACGAU
Molecule: regulatory RNA element, 178 nt
Organism: Pediococcus acidilactici DSM 20284
Lineage: Bacteria; Bacillati; Bacillota; Bacilli; Lactobacillales; Lactobacillaceae
Rfam family: Lysine riboswitch aptamer
About the family: Riboswitches are metabolite binding domains within certain messenger RNAs that serve as precision sensors for their corresponding targets. Allosteric rearrangement of mRNA structure is mediated by ligand binding, and this results in modulation of gene expression.
Source: Rfam